Molecule: long non-coding RNA, 6729 nt
Organism: Bactrocera oleae (olive fruit fly)
Lineage: Eukaryota; Metazoa; Arthropoda; Insecta; Diptera; Tephritidae
Source: RefSeq, a predicted model, not a curated record
CAUCCGUGGACACAUCCUGGAACCGUAAUAGAAAUUUGCAAUGAGAAUAUCGUUUGGACCAGUGUUAGUAAAACAUACAUGCGCACACAAUGAAGCAGGGUUGCAUUGAUGGAUAUGAUUAUGCAUGCGUUGGUUAUUUUUAACACACAAAAGAAGUGCUUUCAUGGAUCGGCACUCACAUGAAGUGAUAAAAAAUGAUAUGGAAUAACUAUAGCGUAGUGGGAUGAACACCCAGCUAAGGUGUACCGGUAUGAAGUGAGCGUUAAGAUACAAAUGUGUUGGUAGGGAACAUUUGUUGUGAACAAGCCUUAACUAUUCCAACGGAUUUUAUUCCAGCAACUUCUUUCAUUAAAACCCUUCCACGAAGUUAUGAGCUUUCAAAAUUCAACCAAUUUUUGAAAAUUUGAUUUCAAAUGAGUGCAUUAUGUUAGCUACACAUUCAGCGCCGAUUUAAAAAAUAUAAUUUUUAAAAUAAAUCCGAAAUGAAAAGCUGUGUCUAGAAAAGGCUGGACGAAGAGAAUGCUACAUUUGUGUUUGAAAGUUUUUCGAUCACCACGUAGGAGAGAUUUUGUAUAUUGCUAUUUAUUGCUGAGGUCCUGCUUAUGCUUUGAAAAUAAUUUAAUUUUAAGGCUGUACAAAUAAGGCGUAGAUCUCGACAAAGUGAGGUUAUCUCAUCUGUGCUGUCACGAAAAACGUAGGACGAUGAAAGUUUCUGCUACUGAAAGAGCUAUAUAAAGAACGUGAAGAGGCACAAAUGUUUCAAAAGGGCAGAGAGUUCUGUGCUUAAUGGAAAAAGUAUAAAGAAAAAACACAAAAAACUCUUUUAUAUCACGAUGGCAAAUUAUGGGUGCUGCUUGUGAAUCUUCUAUUUCGGAAACUGAAAAAUCAGCUCUGUUGUACUCGUUCCGAUUCGUUUAAGUUGUGAAAGGAAGCAACCAGAAGUCAUGAUUAUACUUGAACUUCGAUUCAUUAGUAACAUGUUUGUAUUGAUCUCAAAAUUCGAUGUUUGAAGAUGGUUAUAAAGGUUAUUGCAUAAAAACGAUCCAUCCUAAAUAUUUAAACCGUGUUUGAUUUUAUAAAAAUUAAUAAUAUGACCGUCGUGUUGUUGGAAUUUUAUGAUAAACUCUUUUAAGUCAAUAUAUAGAACGUUGAAUUACAAAAUAUUGUAAUUUGCAAAACAAAUGCAACAAAAACAAUGUAAUAAUAAAAUUAAACUCCACUUACCUCUUUACUGCUUUGUGAAAAUGUGCUCAAAUGAGCUUCGGAGUGAUCGCCAUUUUGUACAUUCUCACCUGAAAAUGCAAUUGCAAAGUUAAUAUUAAUAAAAGAGUAACAAAAAAAUUUAUAUUUCAAAUUUAAAAACAAACCGAUUUUACGCAAAUGAAGGCUGCUGAUGGCAAACAACUAAUGCACAAAUACUAAUUAUAUACAAAACAUAAGCAAAUAUGACAUGAGUGGAGUGAGAUUUGGGGUUUGUUGGGUGUGUAUGUAUAAAAAAUGAGUGCAUAUAUUAUAUAAUAUAUAUACAUGUGUGUUUAUAUACAUGCAUAUGUUAAAGUGGCAUUGUGGAAUCUGAAAAUGUUGCGAAAUGUGUGAAAAUGUUGCAGCAAAUUUUCAAAGUGUAUGAUUGUUCGAUGGUUAAUUUUUGUUUGUUAGAAUAAAUUAGUAUGUACAUAUGUACAUAUAUAUACAGCGUUUACCCAAACACAAAUUAAGCUACUUUAGCAUGCAUAUAAUCACAUGUAAAAAAAUUAAAUAAAUUCACAAGUUGUGUACAUAAUUCAUAUGUAGUGCUUGAAGUUUUCAUUAAUCGUAAUACUUUUUGUUUUUCAAAUAUUUAAAUCAUUAUUUAAUACUUAUUUUUAAGUAACAUGCAGUUUUUAAAUACUACAAUAUAAAAAUUAUAUUAAAAUGAAGAACAAAAAUUAAUCAUUGAAAAUAAAAUUAUAAAAUCAUGUUUACCUGUUUCACCUUGAUUAGUGCUUCACUUACAUAAAAUUAUGCAUAAAUUGUUUAAUUCUUAUAGUCUAGUUGAGCUCUUGUAUGCUUAAUUUGUAGGCUUCUUGUUUCCAUUGCUUAAACUGCUUAAAAAUAGUUAGCUUAAUAUUAGAAUUUAUUUUAGCUUAGAGUUGAUUGAUCACUUAAUGGUGCUUAAACAGCCGUUUGACGGCACUCUUUUACCAAAACACAUUGUGACAUAAUAAUUCAGUUAAGACUAUUUAAUUAACCUUUUCGACUUAAUAUGAAGACUGUUGAUGUUGUUGUAAAAUCUAUAUAAAAUGUGCCACAAAUAAUUUAGGACGAGGAGAGUGUAUUUGACCAAUUCCCAAAAGCUAGUGAUAUGUUAAUUUCGCUGAAGAACGUUCCACAUAAUAAGUUCAGUUAAUUAAAUUACAACAGAUCGCUCUAGCGGGAAAUAUUGAUGAAGAGCGAAAUUUUUUUAUAAAAUAUAUGUAUCCUGUACUUUCUUGUGCUGCUAAGUCUGUUUUUAUCAGUUUUAAAAACAGUUAUCCGUUAAUAAUUAUCUUUAAGGUCGACUUGAAAGUUGAGGUUAUGGUAAACAAAUUUUGAUAAAAUGGUUGGCUAAGUGAGGAGAAGGUUUAAGGGUUUUAAUUGCUAAUUGUACUUAUAUACAUAUGUUAGGUCCGAACACAGAGCAACACAGUAACACUUUUACGACCUUUGGUUUCCAGAGACUUACUCCAGAUUGAACAUUUUAAAACGAAUAAUACUUUCAGUGUUACUACAGUGUGUCUGAUAACUAUCAACAUGAAAUCAAAUUCGAGACUAUCUUAGCUGAGGUCUCAGUUUUUUUUUUUUUUUUUCUUGGAAAUUUAAAGGCAUUUUUUCACCCAUACAAAUUACACCAUAUUAGAAAUAUGUACGCUGUUGAACACAUUUAAAUGUAUGACUAGUUUACACUAACCAACACAAUAUUUAUUUAAAAAAGAACCGAAUAAUAUAAAAAAUAUAUGUUAAUAGGUAUUUUUAACUGUGUUCUGAAAAUAUCCGAAGCUUUAAUUUUUAGUAAAACUUUUAGUAAAUUUUUUUUUAGCAUAUUUCUAUAAAAAAAAAUGUUGUAAUUUUGUAUUUAGAAAAGUAAUGCAAAAUAUAAUUCUUUAUUUGAAAAUAAAAUGAAUCACAAUUUCAUUUUUUAAUGUUUUUUAAGUUUAAAGUUUAAAGUUUAAAGUUUUAGUUCUUUAAAGCUAUUUUUCAAUCAUUUUUGAAUACUUUUGAAAAAUUGUAAUUGAAUUACCUUUUUUUUUUUUGUUUUGAAAAAUAAUAGCAUUUCAUAUGUAAAAAAAUAUCUUCAUUACGUACUCCACUUGGCUUUUGUGCACGAAUUUAACCUAAAGAAUUCAAAUAUUUUUUUAUAAAAUAAAAAUUUAAUAAUAUAAGAGUCCACUAAUUGUGUUACACUUCAAUAGUGUAGUAUUUAAGAAAUGUUUGCACACUGGCAGUUCACUUGCCGGCACUUAGGGAGGUGCGCAACUCCUUCGAUAUCCUCGCCACCUUCAUCUUGCAGUCACACAUGACCGCGUGAUUGUGCAACGCAUUGGCGCAGAUGAUGCCAUUCAACAGGUUCUCUAACUCCUGUUCGAGCAUUGCGACCACCUCGCGCUGUUGAGGUGACAGCGGUUGAUCGGCUUUAGUGGCAGCGCCAUCCACGUAGCAGGUGGAGUCCGUAGAAUUACAAGAUGCUGCGCUGUGCGAAUGGGAUUGUGUGUGCGCCGUUUUGCUGCGCUUGCACUGCUUACCGGCACCUAGAGUACCUGCUAAACGCAAGUCGCUCAAAGUCUCCAGAUGUGCGGUGUGUUGCAAGAGAUGACGUGCGCUAGCGUGCGACAAGUCGAGUAGUGAACUUUCAUUAUCGGUCGAGUGCUGCUGUGCACCGGCACUCAACUGCUGAGCAAUCACGUUGAUCUCCUCGUUAAUGAUGCGCUCCAAUUUGCGACGAAAUUCCGACUCGUGCGUUUGCAAUGUGCGCGCGCAAUCCGAGUUCUUCACAUUAAUGUUGAUAUGUAUCUCCAGCGAACGCAAUGAUGAGGCUGCUGAUGAAGAGCCAGCUUCCGAUAGCGAAGCGGUGACAUGUCGAUAAUGUUCGUGUGGUAGACCAACGCUUAUGGCGGCGACGGUGGCGGCGGGAGUUUCCGGCGUAACAUGCGCAGAAUGGCGAUUUGGUGCAGCGGACUGAGUUUUCGAAUUCAAAGUCAAUUUAAUUUGUUUGUGUGAGUGAUGGGCGUACAAAUGCGUAUCAUCGGGUUCCUCAUCAUCGCAUGAGUUAUGUAAUUUGCGCACUUUUGGUGUGGAAGUAAGCAAUUUCGCAUCUGUAUGAUGUACUUCCUGUUCCGAUUCGGGUUUGUGUUCGGGCAUCUCAUGCGUUUGCGCAUGUGCGGGUACAAAAUCGCGCAGCAAAUACUUAGCACGUUGGGUGGUGGGCGAGUUAUUACGCGCAAAUACCGCGCUAUAAUUAUCACCUGAGUCGUCAUCAUAGUGUUGUUGUUGGUGGACGCCGUCAUCGAUAUGAUGAUGCUCCUCUUCCGCCUCCUCGUCAUGAUAGUGCACUAGAUCGGCGGUGUGGCUAUGCGAGCCAGCUGGAUAAGAGGUGCCACCGAUGGAGAGCAACGAUGAAAAUUGCUCGGAGAGCGAAUGUGCGUCUGUCAGCUGUGGCGUAAGCAUAUCACGAUCAUGUUCGGAUAGCUGUUGUACGCCACCGGCUAUGCUCGCACUCUCACAACCACGUUCACUCGACACCUUGCUGAUGCGCCGUCGCCGUUUGGUAGGCUCCAAUUUUAUUUCUUUUACCGAAAUAUAUGAGCCAUUCGAAUCAUUGUUGUGUGUGCUGUCGCUGUGCGUUGGUGUGUGUUGUGCCGCCCCCUCCUUGCUAGCAUUACUGGUUAGUCGUAGCGCUUCGCAGGAUUUCAAGCGUGGCGCACGCGGCUGCCGAGUUGAGUAAAGUUCACAUUGUUGUUGUUGUUGUAAAUAACCAGUAUUUAAACUCAAAGCAGUCGAUUUAAUGAAAGCGAUUACCUUUUCACGCUGCAACUGUACGGCGGUGAGCAAGUGAGCUGGAUGUAUGGUGAUGUGUGGUUGAUAUGUUAUCGGAUAGUUAAAGCCAUAAUGAGAGCAGGUGCGAUAGGGCUGCAUUGAGUAGGUGUCAGCAGGCGGCGAAGAAGAUAAUGAUGUCGUAUGAGUGACUGCGCCCGCUGCGCAUUUGUCGCGUUCGGCGUCCUCAUGUUCGCGUUCUAGCUCAAUUUGUUUGGGUGAGCGCUCCAAGUUGUUGGUGUUUGCCUUGAGCUGAGCCGCUCCAUCUGGUAAUGGAUAUGUGUAAUGUGGAAAUAUUUCAAUUUUAUGUAUCAUCCAAACAUUAAACACCAGCAAAUGUUGCCUCGGAUAUAUUUUGCUCAAAUCUGCGUUGCGCGGCUUAUACAGAAAAGCAUAUUUCUCAGCAAUUGCUGCCAGACUUGUAAAAUUGUGCACAGUUUCGAUUUUCAAGUGGGUAUAUUUGUGUGAUGAAUGAAUCUCAUAUGCUUGAUGAGUAUGGUUAAUAUGAAUUUUUGUGUUUGUUGUAAGUGAUAAUGGAGUUUGUUGUUGGUGGAAUGUAGCUGUAAUGGCAUGAGAAAUGGUAUAUGGGUAUGUGAGACACGAGAGGCAAAACGUCCGACAUAUUCUAAUAUGUACGCGUACUCAACACAUGUAGACAAACGAAGACAAAACGAUUUAAUGAAUUUCAACGAAAACGAGACGAUACGGGACGACAAUUUGACAAGUUACGAAUAAAAAUACAAUUCAUAUAUUGGCACAUUUGUUGUAGGUUAGUCUCAAGGGUCUAACAUCAACUUCGCAGAUACGAAUAUUUAAACUCUGUUUUAUGGAACACUUUUAAGUUGAGAGAAAACCACAGUGAUAAGAGAGUUUUAACGGAUAUAUGCAAAUAGCUAUGGGGGAAAUAAUUUGCGGUUCUCAUCAGCCAACUAGAGAGUCUGACGCUCGCAAUAACGUUUACGAGAAGAGACUUAAUAAAGUUCCUGGAUGACACUCAUUGAAUGAUGCCAAUCGCCAGUUUAUAAUGUACUUCGUCCGAUGUUGCUUAAUUGGAUGGUUUAAUCGCGUCAAUAUACUUAGGGAAACCACUCUUAAUGUUUCUGGAAUAUAUUUUUGUUUCAUGUAAAUGUCUGAGGCGUGAUUUCGAUGGUAGAAACAUAACAGUUAUUGUUUGUUCGUUAUGAUUCUUAACGGCAAGCGAGUAAAUAUAGUUUCUCAUAAACAUCUCCGAAGCUUCUUCUACUGCGCCCUUAUUGUCCUUUGAGACAAUAACGUUGUUUCGUAAGUCAUGACCAGUCGAGCAAUUUCGUUGUAAAUUGUCGAUUAUGUCUCUUUGUCUUUUCCUUCGAGUGCUGACGGCUGGCGAUUUGACGAUUGAGCGCUAAGUAGACCCUUACUACUUCAUUUAGAGCUGCUUGAACUUUAAAAGAAGUUGCUAAAAUUUUACGACAAGUAUUUUACCCCUGAGUAAGCGUCUUGACAGUAAUUUGGGAUGAGAAAUAAUUGUCAUCACUGCCAUAAAAUUAUCCACACACUUGUAAGGAGAUCUAAUUACUAACAUAUUCAAGACAUGUAAUUAGAUAACUGUUAUUUGCGCGAGUAAUAAUGUUUUUAAAAAAAAAUCUUGACAUUAAAAAAAAUUUUACUCUUCAAAAGGGAUAUUCAUAAUCACAGUAGAACCUA